AUGAGCUUUCAGUUUGGCGUUGGGGCUUUGUCGGGUCUGUGGGCAAGGAGAGCCGGUUUUGUCGACCUCAGCAGGGUCCGUGUGCCAAGCCCCUGGGCAUCGCCGCUCUGGAACAAUGCCGCUCCCGGCCCGAACUGGCCCGAGGGCCGUGUCAACCGGAGACGGUCACCCAGCGACAAACCCAACAGCCCCCCCCCCCGGCCCGUUUGGGGGAAGGAAACAAAAAAGCACCAAGAUCAGCAUCUGUCGGGAGGUGGAGGUUUGUUUUCAUUUUGGGGAAGGGAAGAAGAAGAGCCUCUUUCCCCAACUUUGUGCCUUUUGUCCUGGGCGCCCCUCCUGCCAGUUCAGCCAAGGGGAGAGAAAGCGCACGCGCACGCACACACACACACACGGCCAGCCUGGAGGGCCAGGAAGGCUCCAGACGGUUCACCCUGGGGACCCGAGCAGGGCCCGUUCAGAGGAGAAGGCGUGGAGGUGGAGCCGCACGCAGCACCUCACACCCUUUUCAGAUCCCCCUCAGCUGAAAAGAGGGCCAGGGGGGUGGAAGGGGUGGAGGUGGAAUGGAGGGUGACAGACUCAGGGGAGCUGGGUUCAAAUUCCCCACUCCAUCACGGAAGGGAGGUGCCAUGGCAAAGGCAACACCUCUUCGUCAAUCUCCCACAGGGUUUGAAAACCUUCUUAGGGUGGCCCCAAGUCCCCACAGGGCUUGAGGGGAGGCAACCUGACCUCCCAGAGCAUCCAGCAGAAGAUCAUGCCAAUAGGAAAGGGGAAACCCAUCCAAAGGGGAGGCCUCUCUCGGGCGCUCAAGCGUUCCCUGCCAGCCCUGACGGGGGCCAGAGGGAGCACGAAGGGCUCAGAGAAAGAGGACGCCAAGGAGGGGUGGGUGGCUGGAAGGAAGGAAGGGGGCAGAGUGACCAACUGGGGGGCCACGGCGUGCCCGGGAUCAAACCCCCCUCUCCCAGAGAGUGUGUCUGUCGUCUGGGCCUCUUCUCCCUGUCCCAGAGCAAUGAGGCUGUUUACAACGGCAGGGGCCAUGGGGCAGCCCUCCAGGUGUGGGUGUGGGACUCCGAUUCCCAGCAGGCCUGGGUUUGCUGA
RNAcentral lists this long non-coding RNA (1095 nucleotides) under Pogona vitticeps (central bearded dragon). RNAcentral describes it as "lncRNA (ENSPVIG00000017492.1)". Lineage: Eukaryota; Metazoa; Chordata; Lepidosauria; Squamata; Agamidae. The record is from RNAcentral.